AUUGAACGCUGGCGGCAGGCCUAACACAUGCAAGUCGAGCGGAGCGGCGGACGGGUGAGUAAUGCCUAGGAAUCUGCCUGGUGGUGGGGGAUCACGUCCGGACACGGGCGCUAAUACAGCAUACUAUCAGAUCAACCUAGGUCGGAUUAGCUAGUUGGUGGGGUAAAGGCCUACCAAGGCGACGAUCCGUAACUGGUAUGAGAGGAGGAUCAGUCAAACGGGAACUGGGAAAGGGCCCAGAAGCCUCCGGGAGGCAGCAUUGGGGAAUAUUGGACAAUGGACGAAAGCCUGAUCCAGCAAGGCCGCGUGGUUGAAGAAGGUCUUCGGAUGUUAAAGCACUUUAAGUUGGGAGGCGUUACCAACAGAAUAAGCACCGGCUAACUUCGUGCCAGCAGCCGCGGUAAUUC
RNAcentral lists this ribosomal RNA (407 nucleotides) under uncultured bacterium. Its description in RNAcentral is "partial 16S ribosomal RNA". It matches the Rfam family "Bacterial small subunit ribosomal RNA", at positions 30 to 526 of the family's 1533-position model. The record is from RNAcentral.